UACGAAGGGGGCUAGCGUUGCUCGGAAUCACUGGGCGUAAAGGGUGCGUAGGCGGGUCUUUAAGUCCGGGGUGAAAUCCUGGAGCUCAACUCCAGAACUGCCUUUGAUACUGAAGAUCUUGAGUUCGGGAGAGGUGAGUGGAACUGCGAGUGUAGAGGUGAAAUUCGUAGAUAUUCGCAAGAACACCAGUGGCGAAGGCGGCUCACUGGCCCGAUACUGACGCUGAGGCACGAAAGCGUGGGGGGCAAACAGG
Molecule: ribosomal RNA, 253 nt
Filed under: uncultured bacterium
Lineage: Bacteria
Description: partial 16S ribosomal RNA
Rfam family: Bacterial small subunit ribosomal RNA
Source: RNAcentral